AAUAGAUACCCUGGUAGUCCACGCCGUAAAACGAUGAGUGCUAAGUGUUAGAGGGUUUCCACCCUUUAGUGCUGCAGCUAACGCAUUAAGCACUCCGCCUGGGGAGUACGGCCGCAAGGCUGAAACUCAAAGGAAUUGACGGGGGCCCGCACAAGCGGUGGAGCAUGUGGUUUAAUUCGAAGCAACGCGAAGAACCUUACCAGGUCUUGACAUCCUCUGCCAACCCUAGAGAUAGGGUGUUCCCCUUCGGGGGACAGAGUGACAGGUGGUGCAUGGUUGUCGUCAGCUCGUGUCGUGAGAUGUCGGGUUAAGUCCCGCAACGAGCGCAACCCUUGAUCUUAGUUGCCAGCAUUUAGUUGGGCACUCUAAGGUGACUGCCGGUGACAAACCGGAGGAAGGUGGGGAUGACGUCAAAUCAUCAUGCCCCUUAUGACCUGGGCUACACACGUGCUACAAUGGAUGGUACAAAGAGCUGCGAACCCGCGAGGGUAAGCCAAUCUCAUAAAGCCAUUCUCAGUUCGGA
RNAcentral lists this ribosomal RNA (523 nucleotides) under uncultured bacterium. Its description in RNAcentral is "bacterial SSU rRNA". It matches the Rfam family "Bacterial small subunit ribosomal RNA", at positions 777 to 1297 of the family's 1533-position model. The record is from RNAcentral.